This is a long non-coding RNA of Tribolium castaneum (red flour beetle), 1382 nucleotides long. RefSeq lists it as uncharacterized. The transcript is spliced from 3 exons. Lineage: Eukaryota; Metazoa; Arthropoda; Insecta; Coleoptera; Tenebrionidae. The record is from RefSeq and is a predicted model, not a curated record.
AUAAUAAUAAUAAUAAUAGAUUUAUUGCCAUCAAUAAAUAAUACAUGGCGCGUCAUAUAAUUAUGUACAUGUAAGUGUAUAUGGGACAAUACAUACAUUUAUUUUAAAUCUGGAGGGUUAUCCAGGAACUCUUGGAUAGAAUAAUAACUCAUUUCUAAUAGUGCGUCCUUUACCUUCUUCUCAAACAGAGCCGGAGCUAGUCUCUUCAUCGGGUCCUGAAGCUUGUUAUAAAGCUUCGGGCCCCAAUGGUCAAUGCUGUGCUGUGACACUUUAAGCCGAUGGUACGGUGUUGAGAGCGCGUCAGCGUGUCUUGUGUUAUGCUCGUGAUAUGAGCCAUUCUUGAUGAACUCGUGGAGGUGGUUGUGGACGUACCUCAGACAGCUCAAUAUGUACGCGGAAUGGAUGGUAAGAAUUUGUUGUUGUUUGAAGGCUGGGCGGCAGCUUUCCCGAUAGUUCAUUUGGCACAGGAUUCUGAUUGCUUUCUUUUGCAGGACGAAGAUCUUGUCAGCAUCUGAUGAAGUACCCCAUAGAAGUAUACCAUAGGUGGCUUUGCUGUGGAAGUUAGCAAAGUAUGUCACCCUUGCAGCUUGGGGAGUUGAGAUAUUCUUGAUUCUUCUGAUACUGAAUAAAGCUGAUGCUAGGUUUUUGCAGGUUUCCUGAAUGUGGUCCUUCCAAGAUGCUUUGCUAUUUAGGUAAAAUCCCAAGAAUUUUACCGAUGUGACGUUGGUGGGUUUUGAAGAUAUAAAUAGUUCCUGAGUCUUGUCUCCAUUGAGUUUCAGUUUAUUUGCUGUGAACCAUUCAUUGGCAUCUUCAAGGAUUUUUCUCAUUUUUGGUUUUAGCGUAUCCUCUGUUUCUUCUUUGAUGCAGAAGGAAGUGUCGUCCGCAUAUAGACACUGUCCAUCCACUCUCAUAUUGAUAGGCAAGUCAUUUACAUAGAUUAUAAAUAGCAGUGGACCGAGGAUUGAUCCCUGGGGCACUCCACACCUUGUUGGCAGAGGCUUUGACCAUUUUUCAUUCCAUUUUACUAUCUGGGUUCUAUUUUCAAGGGAAGAAUUUGUCAAAGGCAGCUGUCAGAGUUGUAUGGAAGACAGUGUAGGCCUCUUUUGCAUUACGGUGUUUGAAGACACGAGCCCACUCAAUUCCGGUUAAGUACUCCUUAAAGUAGUUCUUGCACUGGGUUCUUAAUCUUCAGGACUUGACAGUAGUGAUCAGACAUGCACCAACUUUUUGUCUCUUUUGAGAAGAUUUCUUCUAUGUUAAUAUUUGAAAAUAUAUUAUCUAUGCAGCUAGAAGAAGUUUCAGUUGUUCUAGAUGCCUCUCUCAUUAGUGGUUGCAUACCAUAUGUUGUGAAAGUUUCGAUUAAUAAAGAUUGUUCGACGCCA